AGGUGAGAGAAUAGCAAUAAACCAGGGAUGAGGGGAGCCCUGGUGACAAAGAGGACACUGGAUUCUCUCUGUGGUCAAGGAGAGAUGGCAGUGAGAGGGGUAAAUUCACUCAGUUACCCAACUUCCUCUUAGGAGAGUACAGUGUCAAGGGUGAUAAGCCUCACCUGGCUGAGAGUGAGGUUUGUUUGGGCCCCAUUGUCAUAGCAACAAGGGAAUGUUUGGUAACAGAGCCAGUGACUUCACAGAAGCUGGUCUUAAUUCCACAUUUCUGAAGCUCAUGGAAGAGCAGAGCCAGCCAGGAGAGAAUGUGGAGGCAGAGGAAGACAAUAGUUCCCUUGGAAGAGCUGUGACUACUAGAAAAGUACUGUCCUGUAUCCUGGAGGGACACCAGAUGGAACCAAAAGACCAUGUUAUUUAAGUCAAUCAAUCAAAAACUAAAACCUUAAUUUACAAUGAAAAAAGUUUUUAAAAAAAAUAAACAAUCUAAAUGACUACUUUCCUGAGCCUGU
Molecule: long non-coding RNA, 509 nt
Filed under: Monodelphis domestica (gray short-tailed opossum)
Lineage: Eukaryota; Metazoa; Chordata; Mammalia; Didelphimorphia; Didelphidae
Description: lncRNA (ENSMODG00000030447.2)
Source: RNAcentral